GGAUUUACUAGCCUUUGGAUGGGAGAGGGGAUUUAACGUUCAACUUUCAUCUGAGAUGCCGUUAACCGGUUCUUAAGUGAGGUGGCAAAUUUUUGACCUUUGAUUUUUUUUAAGUCAAUCACAGCCGUAAACCGAUUCCUUGCUUCAUAUGUACCCUUAUCCACAUAUAUAACACACUCAGAACUCAGAAGCCACAAGCCAGAAGUGAGACUAGCAAUGGCUGCGGCAGUAGUGGCGGACAGUAGAUGGAGCAUGGCAUCUCUAAGGUCGGCACUUCCUUCAGUGGCAGUGUUUCCCCAUACUCCCCCUUCCUUUCGGAUACCGGUUGCUGCAUUCCAAUCAUCACCACCAUCAUCAUCUCUCAGCCUCUCCCGUCGUCCCAGAACCCAGCAGCUUGGGGUUCCUUACACGGGUCUCUCUCCCCUAAAUCCUCUCCUCUCAAUUGGCUCCUCGGAGUACACAGGUUUUGAAUAUCAUUUCACCAUUAUUGAUAAUGGGGGCCGGUUUUUUGCCAUGAGACAUGGCAGGCGAGUGCCCAAACUUAACAGGCCUCCCGACCAACGACGGGCGCUCCUGCGAGGCCUCACCACUCAGCUCCUUAAACAUGGUCGGAUCAAAACCACUAGGGCAAGGGCAAGUGCCAUGAGGAAGUUUGUUGACAAGAUGAUCACACUGGCUAAGGAAGGGUCUCUUCAUAAGAGGAGACAGGCUCUGGGCUUUAUCUACGAAAAACAGAUUGUGCAUGCCUUAUUUGCGGAGGUUCCAGAUAGGUAUGGGGAUAGAAAUGGCGGUUAUACAAGAAUCAUCAGAACGCUCCCAAGGCGAGGGGAUAAUGCGCCCAUGGCAUAUAUCGAACUUGUUUAGUGUGCGGCGAAAAAGGGAUUCAUGCGUACUGCAUUAAGGUGUCCUUUUGUGAUGGUUUAAUGGUGUCAGAUGGUGUGUGCUUUCAUUUAUAAAUGAGAAGAACAAGAUGAAGACAUAAAAAGGGUUUGAAUUAAUCUUCAACCCUCGUAGGGAAAGCAGGAAGCCAAAACAUAUUAUCAAAGACCAGAAUGAUAUAUAGCUUUUGAGUUAUCAAUUGCAAAAUGCAUGUCGUCAAAUUGGUGAUCCUCGGGAAAUGGCAAUGAAGAGUCGUGGGAAUGCCACUGUGGUAUGAGAACAUAUCUAAGGACUUUAUGGACAGAGAAAAAUCCAAGAAGACGGUUCUUCGGAUGCGCAUCUAUUGCACUUUUGUUUGCUUUUGUGUUCGUUUUAGAUCACGUUCUAUGUAAUCAGCUGUAAUUUUAUUUUUUGGACCUUAAGGAUGUAGAAUUGGGUAUCUUCAAAAUUGUUUCUUGUUAUGUGAGUUUGUAAUUUCGGAAAUUUAAGACAAAUGGAGAUAGAACUCUGGAUCUCAUUUUAAUUGAUGGUACAUGGAGCAAUUCCAAUGCAA
Molecule: RNA transcript, 1432 nt
Organism: Alnus glutinosa
Lineage: Eukaryota; Viridiplantae; Streptophyta; Magnoliopsida; Fagales; Betulaceae
Gene name: large ribosomal subunit protein bL17c
Exons: 4
Source: RefSeq, a predicted model, not a curated record